AAAAAAAAAUUAAAAUAAAUACGGCAUAGACAACACAUGUAAUUGUAAGCAAAUAUUCAAUACUUGAAUUAAAAAAACUAAAGAGUAGCAUCAAUUAAAGCACAAAAUGAGCAUCCUAUUCUUCUACAAGAUUGUCAAGAGUAGCAUCAAUUGGGCAGAAUCUGGGCAGAAUUUGGGUAGGUAGAAUUUUUCUGAAAAAAAUUCGCCAGUAUUUCAGCGCUUUUUGGACGUUUAGAAAAAAGAAGAAGAAGAAGAAGAAUGAAAAUAAAAACAUACCUGUUGAAACUUGAAAGCUGUUGUAAUGUUGAAGAAGAAGAAGACGAAGAACCUUAGUUUGCUUGAACAAAUCGUUGCUUCAUGUGAGGAAGAAAUCGCUGGUUUUUUGAGGAAGAAAAGGCUGGUUUAGAACCCUAGUUUGUUGCUGAAGAAGUGUCUAAAACAGAAGACUCAACGAUUUGGGUCUUUUAAUUGAAAAAGACUCGUUUGGGCCUUUUAAUUCAAGAAGCGAUCGCUUCUUCCGCUCCCGACCGCUUCACCGCUUCUCGCUUUUUAGAGAGAAGCGGUCGCUUUUCUGUACCUGAGCCGCUUUUAGUUGGGGUAACGACCAACCCAUCGCUCCGCUUCGCUUCUCGCUUAAAGCGAGGAAGCGGACGCUUUUUUUAACACUGCUAGUUACAUGAUAUAGAAUAGUUUAGUGAUAUAAUCACGUCUUUAGGUGCACUUCAAAAUUACGCCUUAAUCAAAUACUCGUAGAAAUGCUUUAGGCGCGAUUAAUUAACUAUCGUGACUAUGAGUACGGUUCUCGUGGCAUCGUCAUGAUACCUGAUUCCCAAAUUCGGGGGUGCAUUUCAUGUAACUCGAUCAUAACAAUUUCGAAUAUUAAUAAAAUACACAUGUCGUGAAUCACGGGUGCAUUUCAUGUAGCGUGAUACGCGGCGUGUUCCAAAACAAACAAGUGUACGACAAUCGUAACUUGUUCUAACAAAAUAAUUCCAUAAAUCCUAAAAGCGGUUAAAAUAAUUAAAAGGCGGUUAUAAAGCUAAAAAUGCACAAUAGAUUUAAAACGUGUAGUAAAUUAGAUAAUAGGCCAAUGUUAAUAGUUUAAGCUACCGUGCUAGAACCACAGAACCUGGGAAUGCCUAACACCUUCUCCCGGGUUAAUAGAAUUCCUUAUCUAGAAUUUCUGGUUCGCAGACUUAUAAAGUAAAGUCGAAAUUUCCUCGAUUUGGGAUUUUAAAAUAAAUCAGUGACUUGGAACACCAAAUAAACUAUUCCAAGCGGCGACUCUGAUAAAUUAAUUAAUCUCAUUUCGAUUUAUGUCACUUUAAUUGGAAAAACUUCCUUGUACCCCCUCGGGGUGUAAAUGAGGUGUGAUUUUAUGGUAAAGAAACUUAUGCAUUGUGAGAGAGAAAGAAAAGCUUUAGCACUAUUGUAGUUUCAGCAUGUAAAACUUAACAAGCAUAUACAGACAGUGUCAAACAAAAAGAAACAGCUCAUAUUCAUCUGAAGUUUCAAUUACAAAGCAAUCAAACAAGGAAAUGGUCAUAUGUACUUUGAAACAACAGUUAAGUAACAACUAAAGUGAAGAUAAGACUGUUGGAGGAAUCUCAGAAGCAGAAAACAGCAAACAAUGAACAACACAACUUCAGUAGACUCAAAGAAUCCCAGAAUUUCAAAACUAAACCAACACUUGAAAAACCAGAAAUCCUAAGUACAUACUCCUAGGAAAAUUCUUCAUUUCAACUCAUUUUUUAACUUGUUAACAAAGAGAGAUUUUUUUCUUUUUGGAAGUUUUUCUGAGAUUUUCUUUAAAUCUGAAAUUCAGAGAAGAGAGGAAAUUUUUCUGCAGAGAAUGAUACUACUGAUUGUUCAUCCUCUUUCUUAGAAUGAGGGAAACCUACUUAUAUAGGCUGCCUAGGGAGAGUAUCUUUUUUGGCAUAUUCCUUAUCCUAGGGUAAAAAUAGUACUGUCCUUGGUACAACUGUCCUAUAUUUCAGCAUCUUUUUGUAAUAGCUAGGACAGCUGUACCGUUUUCAAGGAAAUUUCUGAUGUUUAGCCUAGGUAGAAACCCAUUUUUAACCUUCAAGUUGCUGCUUAUUUCAGUCUUAACCUAAACUUUUUCAGUUCAAAUAGGUCCCUAAAGUUUCUAUCUGUGAGCAAUUUAGAACAAACAAGGACAAAACUAAAAAGGGUGAAAAUUUGGAUCAAAAUGCUUAAACAGGUCGAAAAGAUGCAGUCUAGACUUAAUAGAAGGAAAAGCUUGAUCAAUUAGAACUGACUAACACUGAAACUAAAAAAAAUGCAUUUAAACAGUAAUCCAAAAAUCAGAAAUGCAAAUGCAAGGAACAAACUGGAAUUCAAACUACGUCAAUUUGCAAAACUUAAACAAACGAACCUAAAUAAUUGUCAGCCCUCCUAAAAUAAGCCUUUAGACUAGUUUAGGAAAUAAGAGCAAUCAUUUUGAACAUGCUGAAUCUUAGAGAUUGAGACCUAGGCUAAUUGGAAACAUGCUUUUCCUUUUUUUCUUUCUUUUUUUUUAAAAUCUAUCAAACAAAAAACCAACAUCAAACAGAGCUAGGGGUAUGUGAAUUAAAAGAAGGGGGGUAUUUCAGCAUCAAUUUAAAACAUGCAGUUAAAACAAGAACAAUUAAACAUGCAGGAAAGAAACAAAACAAAAUCAGACAGUCAAAAGAAAAAAGAAAGGGAUUUACCGGGUUUUAUUUCAAAAACUGGAUCGAACCACGAACUCGUCCAAACUCCCUGAAGUGUAAAUGGACUUUGACUACCAUUAAAACAGUCGACUAAUGAAGGUUCUAAGUCCACUUGACCAAUUUUGACCGAAAAAAUCAGAAAAGGGGAAAAAAUUAGGGUUCGACGAUUAUGAGAUUCAAGAUUCGGGGAAAUUGGCUGAGAUUUUUGAGGAAUCAAGGGUGAGACAGGGGUGAGGGAAGGUCGAGGACUGUUUGGUAUGAAUUUGUGGGCUUUGGGGGAAAUUAGGGUUUUGGAAACCUAAAUUUCGAUUCAAGAUUCGAGCAGCUAGGCAGUGAUUCGAAGGCAAAGGGUUGGGGAUUUGUAAAGAGGGGAUGAAGGGGAGUUCGGGGUGUUAAUUUGGUUAAGAUUGGAACAAUUAGGUUUUUUAGCUGGAUUUUCAAUCUAAUAUUGGAGGAGUUUGGCAGUGAUUCGAAGGAAGACAACUAGAGAUAUGAAUUGAAGAGGUGAAGGGGAGCUCAUGGUGUUAUUUUGGGGAAGAUUGGUCCACCGGAACCGCCGUGAGGCGAUUUUCGGCGGUGGUUUGCGGUGGAGGCGGCGUGGGGAUAUGAGGCGGCUAGGGUUUAUUGAGAAAGAGAUGAGAGUGAAGACUGAAAGAGG
RNAcentral lists this long non-coding RNA (3369 nucleotides) under Nicotiana tabacum (common tobacco). Its description in RNAcentral is "long non-coding RNA (NTAB_LNC011478)". The record is from RNAcentral. Lineage: Eukaryota; Viridiplantae; Streptophyta; Magnoliopsida; Solanales; Solanaceae.